AAAGACCUCCAGCUUGGAAGUUUCUGUGGACCCCCUGGGGAGGAGCCUGCGGAAACCUCCUCGAGCCAUUUCCACCCUCCAGGCUUUUCUGGCAGCCCUGCAGGUCCCUAAACAUAGAAGCCUGCGUUCAUGGAUAGAGCGUUGGAACAGCAAGCAGAAAUUUUGGUUUUCAGGAUUCCAGAUGCCACAGGAGCUAAUCUGGACAUCGCCUCAGAUGGAGUUUUAAACAAAGAAGACUCUUUCUGAAUGCCAGUAUAAGAAGAACCAGCUAAAGAGGAUGGAGCUGGCCUGGGAGCUCUGUGAGUUAUCAGGUAAAUGUUAUGUCUGGAGUACCGACUGAGAUAACCAAGCCUUAUGGGGCCUUGGAUCAAUUUAAUUCUGAUGAAUGACCAGUUUGGUAAAUAUUAUUUACAUUACUACACAAGUCAGGUCUGUUCCAUUAAUGUUUGAACAACCCACAGAGACUGCUGUGGCGUAGCCUCUCGGGUAAUCCCCACGGACUGGC
Ailuropoda melanoleuca (giant panda) is the source of this 505-nucleotide long non-coding RNA. RefSeq lists it as uncharacterized. NCBI's taxonomy places the organism in Eukaryota, Metazoa, Chordata, Mammalia, Carnivora, Ursidae. The record is from RefSeq and is a predicted model, not a curated record. The transcript has 3 exons.